AGUGAACGCUGGCGGUAGGCCUAACACAUGCAAGUCGAACGGCAGCACAGUAAGAGCUUGCUCUUACGGGUGGCGAGUGGCGGACGGGUGAGGAAUACAUCGGAGUCUACUUUUUCGUGGGGGAUAACGUAGGGAAACUUACGCUAAUACCGCAUACGACCUACGGGUGAAAGCAGGGGAUCUUCGGACCUUGCGCGAGUGAAUGAGCCGAUGUCGGAUUAGCUAGUUGGCGGGGUAAAGGCCCACCAAGGCGACGAUCCGUAGCUGGUCUGAGAGGAUGAUCAGCCACACUGGAACUGAGACACGGUCCAGACUCCUACGGGAGGCAGCAGUGGGGAAUAUUGGACAAUGGGCGCAAGCCUGAUCCAGCCAUACCGCGUGGGUGAAGAAGGCCUUCGGGUUGUAAAGCCCUUUUGUUGGGAAAGAAAAGCAGCAGGUUAAUACCCCGCUGUUCUGACGGUACCCAAAGAAUAAGCACCGGCUAACUUCGUG
This 492-nucleotide ribosomal RNA is filed under the name uncultured bacterium. Its description in RNAcentral is "partial 16S ribosomal RNA". It matches the Rfam family "Bacterial small subunit ribosomal RNA", at positions 29 to 507 of the family's 1533-position model. The record is from RNAcentral.